Molecule: small RNA, 1605 nt
Filed under: Pongo abelii (Sumatran orangutan)
Lineage: Eukaryota; Metazoa; Chordata; Mammalia; Primates; Hominidae
Description: retained intron
Source: RNAcentral
CUCUCUUUGCCUGCUGCCAUCCAUGUAAGAUGUGACUUGCUCCUCCUUCCCUUCUGCCAUGAUUGUGAGGCUUCCACAGCCACGUGGAACUAUUUCUGCCUGGCAGAUUAACCAACGGCAAGAGGGGCUGAUCUGUCUACAUUCUGAGUACUGCCCUUGGCAAGACACCUAGAACAGACCCUGGAACCAAGUCUACCAUACUACCAUACCCCUACUCCAGCCCACCCCAGACAGUAUUCUGGGGUUCACCUGAGGUCAGCAGUGUGAAGAUGACCAGUGCCUUUUUAGCAUGACGACUUUGGACCAUGUGAUUGCCACCCACCAGUCAGAAUGGGUCUCCUUCAAUGAAGAGCCACCCUUUCCUGCCGACUUGCAGGGGGGCACGGAAGAGCACCUCCCAGGACUGUCAUCUUCCCCAGACCAGUCCGAGAGCUCCUCCGGGGAGAACCAUGUGGCGGAUGGAGGCUCUCAAGACCAUUCCCACUCGGAGCAGGAUGACUCCUCUGAAAAGAUGGGCCUCAUCUCUGAAGCAGCUUCCCCACCUGGGAGCCCUGAGCAGCCCCCACCUGACCUGGCCUCGGCCAUCAGCAACUGGGUUCAGUUUGAAGACGACACGCCCUGGGCCAGCACAUCUCCACCUCAUCAGGAAACAGCUGAGACAGGUGAGGAGUUAGGAAGGGCCUGGCUUGGGUAUGUGGUCAGCAGGAAUGCUUUUCAGUGAGAGGUCUGUAGGGCUGCCAGGAUUCCAUUUCACCUGCCCCCUAACCCUGAAGCACUGGUCGCAUAGAGGAGAGCAGACGGAGUCCUCAUCUGGUUUAAUUCUGUAGCUUGUUUUUGUUGACAUAAGCAUACAAAAGAAUGUAUGUGUUCUAGGACAUUUCUAGUCCUUUACUCUUGUCCCUGGCUGUUGACUUGUCUUUAAAAUAAUGCAUAUAUAUUUUUCUAUUAGGGAUUGGAAUUAUAUUUACUCAGCUCCUAAAUUGUAAGCACCUUACAUACAGAAAUGAAUGUUUCUGCUGGGUGCGGUGGCUCAUGCCUAUAAUUUCAUCACUUUGAGAGGCCGAGGAGGGUGGCUCACUUGAGGUCAGGAGUUUGAGACCCACCUGGCUAACAUGGAGAAACCCUGUCUACUAAAAAUACAAAAAUUAGCUGGGCGUGGUCACGCACUUCUGUAAUCCCAGCCACUCAGGAGGCUGAGGCAUGUGAAUUGCUGAACCUGGGAGUGGAGGUUGCAGUAAGCUGAGAUCGUGCCACUGCACUCCAGCCUGGGUGACAGAGUGAGACUCUGAAUCCAAAAAAUAAAAAAAGAGAAAUGAAUGUGUGUGAAAGUGUGGACCACUGACCAUGUCUAACCAAGUCACCAAUAGGAUUUGUUAAACAUGGAUAUUCUCACACUUCAGAACUCUUGAAUCCACAUCCUCAUGGGUAGGGAUGGUUGUUCAUGAGAAAUCUCUCAUUUUGUGGCAUUUCAAUGGCCAGAAGCUGCACUGGGGAGCUUAGUAAACUGUAGGAGUUGUUAGUCCCCACCCUGGUGACCUGGCUACUUCUUUGUUGUGCACUGAAGUAUGCCACAGGUGAUUGGAUAAGCUUUGGGACCGUGUUAGU